This 406-nucleotide ribosomal RNA is filed under the name uncultured bacterium. RNAcentral describes it as "partial 16S ribosomal RNA". It matches the Rfam family "Bacterial small subunit ribosomal RNA", at positions 30 to 526 of the family's 1533-position model. The record is from RNAcentral.
AUUGAACGCUGGCGGCAGGCCUAACACAUGCAAGUCGAGCGAGCGGCGGACGGGUGAGUAAUGUCUGGGAAACUGCCUGAUGGAGGGGGAUAACUACUGGAAACGGUAGCUAAUACCGCAUACCAUCAGAUGUUCCCAGAUGGGAUUAGCUAGUAGCUGGGGUAACGGGUCACCUAGGCGACGAUCCCUAGCUGGUCUGAGAGGAGUACCAGCCACACUGGAACGUAGACACGGACCAGACUCCUCCGGGAGGCAGCAGUGGGGUAUAUUGGACAAGGGGCGCAAGCAUGAUGCAGCCAUGCCGCGUGUGUGAAGAAGGCCUUCGGGUUGUAAAGCACUGUCAGCGGGGAGGCGUUACCCGCAGAAGAAGCACCGGCUAACUCCGUGCCAGCAGCCGCGGUAAUAC